Molecule: long non-coding RNA, 596 nt
Organism: Mauremys mutica (yellowpond turtle)
Lineage: Eukaryota; Metazoa; Chordata; Testudines; Geoemydidae
Exons: 3
Source: RefSeq, a predicted model, not a curated record
UAUUUGUGUGAAGUGUAAUGAGCAUCAUCAACUGCUUCUUGUGUAACGUUGAAUCAUCUGGAAGCCUUUGUUUGAACAGAAGCUUGCCUAUUAAUACAACAGAAGGCUAGUUUAUUUGUCCAGACUCCCAGAUGAGAAAAGUGAUGACCUUGAGAUGUGUAUGUGAAAGACAAAACUCUUACAGAGAUGAUCACAUCUGAAUAAUAGUUCAGUGUAAUCAGAAAUGUUCUUAUGUGGUCUCCAAACCUUCUUGCAAGAAACAGAUUGGCACUGACUUCUGAUAGUAAGAGCAGAACUGAAUACUUGGAAGGGGGAAAACAACAGCUGUGCCCCAGUCCUGGUUAAUAUGUUGGAAAGAGGAUAAGUGUGAGUUGGCAUGUCAUACUCCUAGCAAGGGUAAUCAGACAACACCCAGAACAGUACUUGCAGAAUGUGCAACUCUUGGCGUGAAAAUUGACAAUUACCUGAGCUUUGGGAGCGAAGUAGUGAUACUCAGCAUUUCUGUUACUAUUAUGUUAUUUCCACUGAGUCUCAAGCAUAUAUAAUGCAAUCGGUUCCUUUUAUAAUCUUCUUAAUAAAAAGAAGAAUGGUUUUCA